This 232-nucleotide ribosomal RNA is filed under the name uncultured bacterium. RNAcentral describes it as "partial 16S ribosomal RNA". It matches the Rfam family "Bacterial small subunit ribosomal RNA", at positions 104 to 334 of the family's 1533-position model. The record is from RNAcentral.
CGGGGUGAGUAACGCGUGGGUAACCUACCCUGUACACACAGAUAACAUACCGAAAGGUAUGCUAAUACGGGAUAAUAUAUUUGAGAGGCAUCUCUUGAAUAUCAAAGGUGAGCCAGUACAGGAUGGACCCGCGUCUGAUUAGCUAGUUGGUAAGGUAACGGCUUACCAAGGCGACGAUCAGUAGCCGACCUGAGAGGGUGAUCGGCCACAUUGGAACUGAGACACGGUCCAA